Molecule: RNA transcript, 3629 nt
Organism: Anguilla rostrata (American eel)
Lineage: Eukaryota; Metazoa; Chordata; Actinopteri; Anguilliformes; Anguillidae
Gene: ptpn12
Gene name: protein tyrosine phosphatase non-receptor type 12
Exons: 18
Source: RefSeq, a predicted model, not a curated record
CGGUCCAGCUAGUUAGUGUCUGAGUUUAGUGAAUGUAGAAGCUUGGAGUGAGUGAGAAGUGGAUCCGUGUUUCAUGUUUUUUUAUUCUUGAAUUAUCCAUUAAUAUAUAAGACGAAAGGAAAGAAUCUAUUUGGAUUUAAUUUUUACGUAGGACAACACAAACAUGGGGUGGUAAACAUGUGGGAGUGACUAUCUGUGGAUUUUAAAAGUAUUUAUUUAUUUAUUCUUUAUUUUAUUUUCGUUAGUGGACUCGUUUAAGUUACCGUGGGAAAGCCGCGGCACACGCUGGCCUGAAAGAUGGACCAGGCGAAUAUCCUGAGGAAGUUCAUUCAAGGGGUUCAUACCAUGCGAACCGGGGACCAGAGAGGAGAGGAUAACUUCGGCAGUGACUUCAUGAGAUUACGAAGACUAUCGACCAAGUACAGAACAGAGAAAAUCUAUCCUACAAACGUUGGAGAAAAAGAAGAGAAUGUGAAAAAGAACAGAUAUAAAGACAUAUUGCCAUUUGACCACAGCAGGGUAAAGGUGUCGUUAAAGACCUCCAAUCAGGACACGGAUUACAUCAAUGCAAAUUUCAUCAAGGGAAUCGAUGGGCCCGAGGCCUACAUCGCCACGCAGGGGCCCCUCCCCAACACCGUCAUCGACUUCUGGAGGAUGAACUGGGAGUAUCACGUAGCGGUCAUCGUGAUGGCGUGUCGAGAGUUUGAGAUGGGAAGGAAAAAGUGUGAGCGGUACUUCCCCCUGUUCGGCGACGAGCCGCUGUCCUUCGGGCCGUUCCGGAUCUCCUGCGAAUCGGAACAGGCCAGGACGGACUUCUUCAUCAGAACACUGACCGUGGAGUAUCAGGAUGAGACGCGCAGAAUAACGCAGUUUCACUACAUGAACUGGCCCGACCACGACGUGCCCUCCUCCUUCGAUUCCAUCCUGGACAUGAUCAGCCUCAUGAGGGAGUACCAGGAACACGACGACGUACCGAUCUGUAUACACUGCAGUGCGGGCUGUGGGCGGACCGGGGCCAUCUGUGCCAUCGACUACACGUGGAACCUGCUGAAGGCUGGGAAGAUUCCAGAAGACUUCAACGUGUUCCGGCUGAUUCAGGAGAUGAGGACGCAGAGGCAUUCGGCUGUGCAGACCAAGGAGCAGUAUGAGCUGGUGCACAGGGCCAUCGCUCAGCUCUUUGAGAAGCAGCUGCAGCACCUCGAGAGCCCCACCAACUCCGAGAUCGCUGAUAACAUGGAUGAAGGAAGCCCGGAGAAAGCCGACCAAACCUCAGACGAGGAGAGAUGGGACACGCCUCCCCCCAAACCGCCCCGGGUCCGCAGCGGUUGUCAGGUUGAAGGAGACGUAAAGGAGGAGAUCCUGCAGCCCCCGGAGCCCCGCCCGGUCCCGCCCAUCCUCACCCCGUCCCCGCCCUCCGCCUUCCCCACGGUGACCAACGUGCGGCAGGACAACGACCGCUACCACCCCAAGCCCGUGCUGCACGUGAUGGCGUCGGGCCAGAACCCCGACCUCAACGAGAACUACAACAAGGCCCCGCCCGAGGGCGGGACCGGGGGCACGGGGACCUCCCCCUGCCCCUCCCCCGGCGAGGGCCUGGAGAAGAAGCUGGAGCGCAAGCUGAGCAUCGAGAUCAAGAAGGUGCCCCUGCAGGAGGGCCCGCGCAGCUUCGAGAGCAGCAACGCGCUGCACCGCAGCCACGCCUUCAAGGCCAAGCCGCACGCCGCCGGCUCCGCCCCCGCCGGCGAGGACUCGCGGGCCGACUGCCCCGCCCAGCCCGAGGGCGAGGAGGCGCCCCCCCGGCCCAACCACCUGCCCCUGCGGGACAAGGGCCAGGCGCCCUGGUCCCUCGCCGGCUCGCAGAAGUCCCGCUCUCCCUCGCCGGGCUCCGCCCUCGGCCCCGCCCCCAGGACUGCGCUCUGCUUCACCAACCCGCUGCACUCGGAGAACUCCGACUCGGAGGGCGAGGGCCGCGGACCGCCCUCGGGGGCCGCCUGGGACCCCAGCCGCGCGAGCAGCGUCUCCACCGCCAGCGGCACCGUGCUGGCGCCCUACCCCGGUGAGCCCCACCCCGCCAGGAAGGUCUCCUCCAUGUCCAUCGCCGGUCGGUCCUCCCCUCUGGACACGGCACCAAACUGUGACGAGACUGAAGAUUCCCCUCCCCCUCUGCCCGUGAGAACCCCAGAGUCGUUCUGUCUGGCCUCAGAAGACUCUUCGGAUCAGAAGGCCUCGGGGUCGGGGAGUUCAGCGGAUUGGAGCGGCUCUCCGGACUGCCUGGGAACGGGGGCGGAGUCUCCCCAGGGUGCGACGCCCCCCAGGAGCGCUGAGAAUGAUGACCCAGGAGAUGGAGAGAACAGGAAGAAGGCCCCCGCCCCAGGGGAAGACGGGAACACUGCCAAUGCACGACCGGACACCGCGGACGACGCCGAGGGUGCCUCAGAGCUAGGUGAGCUCCUCUCCGGGGCUGCUGAAGGGGCCUUUCCUCUCUGAGGCUCUCUGCCAGGGCCUUCUCAUAUGCAAGGGCAGAGACUGAGGAGAAUGUUUCUGAAGGAUUCAGCAAGCGCUGCACGAAGCCCAAAGGUCCCCGGGACCCCCCAACGAAAUGGACAUGAUAGCUACAGACCGCACCCCCCCCCCCCAACCGCCCUACAGACCUGGAGAAGGCGUCCCUUUCCUUAAAGUGCCACUGUAUAUGGAGGAAUAGACUGUACUCUUCACCCUUUCAAACACAGCCCCCCCUUUCCGACUAACACAAUCUUUUAAAGCAAUGUAGAUAAUCUCCAUCAUGCAAUGGUACACACUCUACUGUAUUUGUACUUUUUGCCAGGGGUUCUGUAUUCUGGUGCUAAUUACUCUCUUUGCUGGGACCAUUAACCUGCCUUAGUCUCUUAAAGGAUUACUGAUGGGUUUUUUUAAACUCAAGAGAAACGGCUUUUCUUCCUCUGCUGCAGUACUUUUAGACUUGUAUCAUUACAAUACAGUAAGACACGUAUUAAUAGGGGCAGUGGACUACUGUUUUUAUUUUAUUUUUUUUGUUUGUUUUUUUUUUCUCCUCUAACUUCUCGAUAGCUAUAUAUGCAGUGUUUUAUUAAUGUACAGGGCAAGUAGGUAUAUAAUUUGACAAAUUUGCUGUCGCUAAGUAUUCGUAUUAACAGAAGAUGUAAGAAGUUUCUGCAUGAUCCGACACCCUUGUGUAACUUCCAUUGUAAAUUAUUUGCCCUCCUGUUUCUAGAUAAUAUUUCAGGGUUUUUUUUAAUUAUUAUUUUAUUUGAUUUUUUUUUUCCUUUUUGAAAAAAAAAAGAAACAAAGCAAAAAGACAAAAUGGCUGGAACCGCAGUCACCAGCCGCUGAAAUGGCACGGGCUCAAGAUUGUAAUAAUACUUUUUUGUAAAUUUUAUUGUAAAGGUUAUUUUUCUAUGAUAUGCUGUUUUAUUCCUGGCCCAUACUCGGCUGUACCUCUCGCCUUGGAGCCUGCCUGUGCCUUUUGGAGAAUCUGCCCCUCGUUCCAGCUCGCACGCGCACACACCACCGCGGCCGAGCCUCCGGAACCUCUCUCAACAAACCCUACCACACAGACCUGUUUGUAUGUUACAGAAAUCAAUCGACUUGUCAGUAAAAGAAAAAGAAAAACA